AGUGGAGUUAGUGGGAGAAGAGACAACUAGAUCUGUAUAGAUCAUGGUGGUCUCCAUACAAAGACCGGUUGCUGAAGAGUGGAUGAUGGAGGGACCACAGGCGAACAUCAGGACAGAAUUCUGCACGAGUCAGCAGCUACAUACACCACAAAGGCUCUUUUAAGAGCCACAUCUCGAGAGCGUCUUUGGCUUUCAGCUACAUACACCACAAAGGCUCUUUUAAGAGCCACAUCUCGAGAGCGUCUUUGGCUUUAAAGUUCUCUACAGUCAACCACACUCACUCAACGACGAUAUCCACAGUUCACACUCUCGGUCAAAACCAAGGUAUGCGUAUUUAUUGUGAUAGAAUUAUUAGACAUUACGCCAGUGGUUCUGAAUUCCAAUCUUGGGGACCCAUAACACUACACAUUCUGGAUGUCUGUCUCAUUUAACAUGCUCUAUUCGGUUUAAGGGGCUUCUAUUAUAUGAUGGGUUGAAUCACAUGUAAAAGACAUCCAAAAUGUGCAAUGCAAGGGUCUUCCAAUACUGGAGUUGAGAACCACUGCAUUUGGCUUAGCAGGUUAGUGCAAUGCAUUCUCUGUGUGUGUGUAUGUGUGUGUGUGUUAGUGUGUGUGUGUUAAUAUCUCAGUACCAUGGAUUGCAAAAAACUUACUGGACAUUGCGAAGGAAGAAAAGCCAAGGCUAAGGUGGACAAACAACUCCAGUCAAUGGAAGCAUUAUCACCAUCAUCAUGGAGGGAGUAUGGUGGCAUGCACAGUGACACAAGCAGCACCGUUGAUGACAACAAUGACUUUAUGGAUGGUUUGUCCCAUAUCGAUGAGCAUGAAUGUGUCACCAUGGCAAGUGCUUCACAUAGCAGUGAAUCUGACACAGACUCAGACACAGAUUCUGAACUGCAUCCAAGUUCCCUGAAUGAUGACUUGGCAACCUGGGCUACAGAACAUAAAAUAACACAUGUGGCACUAAAUUCAUUACUUAAUAUCCUCCGCAAGCACGAUCUGAAUUUGCCAAAAGAUGCCAGGACACUAUUAGGAACAGUGCGUUCAAAUAGAACUGAAGUCCAAAACAAGGCUGGUGGCCAGUACUAUCAUUUUGGUCUACUGGAAUCCAUUUCGGGUGUACUCUACAACAACAUGGACAUUUUGCAGAACAUGAGCAAUCUGAAGCUCCAGGUGAGCAUUGAUGGUCUGCCUCUCUACAAGAGUUCAGCAACUCAAUUCUGGCCCAUUCUUGGAACUGUGCAAAAUUUGGUGCAGGAGGAACCUGUGACAAUAGGUUUAUUUUGUGGUGACAGUAAACCUUACCUCCCUGGAUGAGUAUCUGGAGGACUUCAUCUGUGAAAUAAAAGACUUAAGUCAUGGUUUUGAAUUUGAAGGACUCAAGUUAGCA
Sinocyclocheilus grahami is the source of this 1389-nucleotide RNA transcript. RefSeq lists it as uncharacterized. The transcript is spliced from 4 exons. The record is from RefSeq and is a predicted model, not a curated record. Lineage: Eukaryota; Metazoa; Chordata; Actinopteri; Cypriniformes; Cyprinidae.